AGCCAUGCCGCGUGUAUGAAGAAGGCCUUCGGGUUGUAAAGUACUUUCAGCGGGGAGGAAGGCGAUGCGGUUAAUAACCGCGUCGAUUGACGUUACCCGCAGAAGAAGCACCGGCUAACUCCGUGCCAGCAGCCGCGGUAAUACGGAGGGUGCAAGCGUUAAUCGGAAUUACUGGGCGUAAAGCGCACGCAGGCGGUCUGUCAAGUCGGAUGUGAAAUCCCCGGGCUCAACCUGGGAACUGCAUCCGAAACUGGCAGGCUUGAGUCUCGUAGAGGGGGGUAGAAUUCCAGGUGUAGCGGUGAAAUGCGUAGAGAUCUGGAGGAAUACCGGUGGCGAAGGCGGCCCCCUGGACGAAGACUGACGCUCAGGUGCGAAAGCGUGGGGAGCAAACAGGAU
This 396-nucleotide ribosomal RNA is filed under the name Kosakonia cowanii. RNAcentral describes it as "bacterial SSU rRNA". It matches the Rfam family "Bacterial small subunit ribosomal RNA", at positions 390 to 778 of the family's 1533-position model. Lineage: Bacteria; Pseudomonadati; Pseudomonadota; Gammaproteobacteria; Enterobacterales; Enterobacteriaceae. The record is from RNAcentral.